UACGUAGGGUGCGAGCGUUGUCCGGAAUUAUUGGGCGUAAAGAGCUUGUAGGCGGUUUGUCGCGUCUGCCGUGAAAAUUCGAGGCUCAACCUCGAACUUGCGGUGGGUACGGGCAGACUAGAGUGUGGUAGGGGAGACUGGAAUUCCUGGUGUAGCGGUGAAAUGCACAGAUAUCAGGAGGAACACCGAUGGCGAAGGCAGGUCUCUGGGCCACUACUGACGCUGAGAAGCGAAAGCAUGGGGAGCGAACAGG
Molecule: ribosomal RNA, 253 nt
Filed under: uncultured bacterium
Lineage: Bacteria
Description: partial 16S ribosomal RNA
Rfam family: Bacterial small subunit ribosomal RNA
Source: RNAcentral